UCGAGAAUCAUUCGCAAUGGGCGAAAGCCUGACGAUGCGACGCCGUGUAAACGAUGAAGGCCUUCGGGUUGUAAAGUUCUUUCGCCAAGGAACAAGAGAAGGUAACCAAUAAUUACCUAAUUUGAGGGUACUUGGUAAAGAAGCACCGGCUAACUCCGUGCCAGCAGCUGCGGUAAUACGGAGGGUGCAAGCAUUAAUCGGAUUUACUGGGUGUAAAGAGCGCGUAGGCGGGUAGGCAAGUCAGAUGUGAAAUUCCGGAGCUCAACUCCGGAGCUGCAUUUGAAACUACUUAUCUUGAGGGUGGACGGAGAAAACGGAAUUCCACGUGUAGCGGUGAAAUGCGUAGAUAUGUGGAAGAACACCGGUGGCGAAGGCGGUUUUCUAGUUCAUUCCUGACGCUGAGGCGCGAGAGCAAGGGGAGCAAACAGGAUUAGAUACCCCCGUAGUCC
Molecule: ribosomal RNA, 449 nt
Filed under: uncultured prokaryote
Description: bacterial SSU rRNA
Rfam family: Bacterial small subunit ribosomal RNA
Source: RNAcentral